Molecule: long non-coding RNA, 330 nt
Organism: Peromyscus eremicus (cactus mouse)
Lineage: Eukaryota; Metazoa; Chordata; Mammalia; Rodentia; Cricetidae
Exons: 2
Source: RefSeq, a predicted model, not a curated record
UUUGGGUUGGAGGCGUUCUUCCUGUUUCUCACAUCACUGCACAAGUAUCCUCUGAGGAUGGGGCCCUGCAAACAUGGUGGGGAUAAGGAUGUGAUGAAGAAGCUGAAGGUAAAGACUGAGAAUCCUGGUCCAGGGGAUGCUGCUGCCUACAUUUGAGGUGGGUCUUCCCAGCUCAGUUCAAUAUCUCUGAACCCUCCCUCACAGACAAGCCCUGAUAUUCUAAAUUCUAUCAAGUUGACAAUGAAGAUGAACUGCCUCAGAAGUUAUCUUGAUGUAUCAGAAAUAACCUUGGACAUGGAUUUAUAAUAAAAGGAAAUCUAGUCAGAUGGA